CACGACCAUGGAGCUCGAAAAUUGAUGUGUAUUUGAGUCAUAGGAGCUGUUGGUAAUUAGCGAUAUGCUCGUAUUGGUGAUGUUAUUUUUGCUGUAAUCAAAGACACAUUGCCCCAAAUGCCUCUAGAACAUCUGAAGUAA
Molecule: ribosomal RNA, 141 nt
Filed under: Triticum aestivum (bread wheat)
Lineage: Eukaryota; Viridiplantae; Streptophyta; Magnoliopsida; Poales; Poaceae
Description: partial small subunit ribosomal RNA
Source: RNAcentral